GACGAACGCUGGCGGCGUGCCUAAUACAUGCAAGUUGAGCGCUGAAGGUUGGUACUUGUACCGACUGGAUGAGCAGCGAACGGGUGAGUAACGCGUGGGGAAUCUGCCUUUGAGCGGGGGACAACAUUUGGAAACGAAUGCUAAUACCGCAUAAAAACUUUAAACACAAGUUUUAAGUUUGAAAGAUGCAAUUGCAUCACUCAAAGAUGAUCCCGCGUUGUAUUAGCUAGUUGGUGAGGUAAAGGCUCACCAAGGCGAUGAUACAUAGCCGACCUGAGAGGGUGAUCGGCCACAUUGGGACUGAGACACGGCCCAAACCCCUACGGGAGGCAGCAGUAGGGAAUCUUCGGCAAUGGACGAAAGUCUGACCGAGCAGCGCCGCGUGAGUGAAGAAGGUUUUCGGAUCGUAAAACUCUGUUGGUAGAGAAGAACGUUGGUGAGAGUGGAAAGCUCAUCAAGUGACGGUAACUACCCAGAAAGGGACGGCUAACUACGUG
Molecule: ribosomal RNA, 497 nt
Filed under: uncultured bacterium
Lineage: Bacteria
Description: partial 16S ribosomal RNA
Rfam family: Bacterial small subunit ribosomal RNA
Source: RNAcentral